UACGUAGGGGGCAAGCGUUGUCCGGAAUCAUUGGGCGUAAAGCGCGUGUAGGCGGCUGGGUAAGUCCGCUCUGAAAGCCCGGGGCUCAACCCCGGGAGGCGGGUGGAUACUGCUCAGCUCGAGUCCGGAAGAGGAGAGUGGAAUUCCUGGUGUAGCGGUGAAAUGCGCAGAUAUCAGGAAGAACACCCGUGGCUAAGGCGGCUCUCUAGUACGGUACUGACGCUGAGACGCGAAAGCGUGGGGAGCGAACAGG
This 253-nucleotide ribosomal RNA is filed under the name uncultured bacterium. RNAcentral describes it as "partial 16S ribosomal RNA". It matches the Rfam family "Bacterial small subunit ribosomal RNA", at positions 524 to 776 of the family's 1533-position model. The record is from RNAcentral.